Molecule: ribosomal RNA, 246 nt
Filed under: uncultured Symbiodinium
Lineage: Eukaryota; Dinophyceae; Suessiales; Symbiodiniaceae
Description: partial Eukaryotic large subunit ribosomal RNA
Rfam family: Eukaryotic large subunit ribosomal RNA
Source: RNAcentral
AGUGGCAACACAAGCGAAGCCGGGGAUGGCUGCGGGGGCCCCGACAAGAGUUUUCUUUUCUUGUUAACAAGUGCACUGACCCCGGAAUCGGAUUGACCGGAGAUUGGGUUAGCGGCUUGGGAAAGGCGGCUACUUUUGAGCCGUUUCGGUGCGCUCUCGACGUCCCUUGAAAACCUGGUGGCGUGUCUUAUUCGCACUCCUGGUCGUACUCAUCACCGCAUCAGGUCUCCAAGGUUAGCAGCCUCU